CCUACGGGGGGCAGCAGUGGGGGAUAUUGCACAAUGGGGGAAACCCUGAUGCAGCGACGCCGCGUGGGUGAAGAAGGAUUUCGGUAUGUAAAGCCCUAUCAGCAGGGAAGAAAGAAGACGGUACCUGACUAAGAAGCCCCGGCUAACUACGUGCCAGCAGCCGCGGUAAUACGGAGGGGGCGAGCGUUAUCCGGAUUCACUGGGUGUAAAGGGAGCGUAGACGGCCGUGCAAGCCAGGAGUGAAAGCCCGGGGCCCAACCCCGGGACUGCUCUUGGAACUGUGCGGCUGGAGUGCGGGAGGGGCAGGCGGAAUUCCGGGUGUAGCGGUGAAAUGCGUAGAUAUCAGGAGGAACACCGGCGGCGAAGGCGGCCUGCUGGACCGCGACUGACGUUGAGGCUCGAAAGCGUGGGGAGCGAACAGGAUUAGAUACCCGGGUAGUC
Molecule: ribosomal RNA, 441 nt
Filed under: uncultured bacterium
Lineage: Bacteria
Description: partial 16S ribosomal RNA
Rfam family: Bacterial small subunit ribosomal RNA
Source: RNAcentral